This is a long non-coding RNA of Ornithodoros turicata, 613 nucleotides long. RefSeq lists it as uncharacterized. The record is from RefSeq and is a predicted model, not a curated record. NCBI's taxonomy places the organism in Eukaryota, Metazoa, Arthropoda, Arachnida, Ixodida, Argasidae. The transcript has 4 exons.
ACACCAACGUCGUCGUCGCCGUCAUUGCGUCGACAUAGAACUAUAACAGAACUGUUUCACCGAUGUCUCGAGACCAUGUAGGUAUUUCCACGGUGAGCAGUACGAGCACAGCUUCGAUUUUGUGAAACGUUCAAGGAAUACGCCUCUUGGGGAAUGGAUACGCUGCUAGUAAACACCAAUGAGCCACGAAGAUACAGGUCUCUCGCUUUCAACGUCCUCUCCGGAAGUGUCAGAGGCUACGCAGUUCUUGGUGACUUUAGCGCUGGUGUCAGAACUGCAAUUUGCCAGACACAGAAAAACAGAUGACGGGGCUAUGGUUAUCCUUUCACAGUGCGAAAAGGGACGAUAAUCUCAGCUACAUUUCCAAGUCGAGUAUAUGAGCUGAUAUGAGCGGAUACUGUAGGGGACGGACGCACUAGGAAACCUAUCUAUGAAACCGAUACCACAAUGUUCGCCGUCGGCCCACAAUCUACCUGGGUAUUUUUUUCGUUCGAAGAGUGCUCCGAUAUUAAAUGAACGAAUUUUAAAGAUCAGCAGCUGCAGAGGCUCCGGCGGUGCGACGUCACUCCCAAAUCUUAUUCUCUCUCAUUAACGAUCUUCCUUUUAUAAUUAA